Molecule: non-coding RNA, 135 nt
Organism: Arachis ipaensis
Lineage: Eukaryota; Viridiplantae; Streptophyta; Magnoliopsida; Fabales; Fabaceae
Source: RefSeq, a predicted model, not a curated record
UAAACCGUCACAAUUUAGCGACGAUUUGAAACCGUCACUAAAUUACUAGUUCUUAUGAUAGUUUUUAGACAUAUUUAAUGACUAUUUAAACUGUCAUAAUAUUUUUAGUGACAACACCAGUAACACCAACAAAUC